UAGGGAAUUUUGCGCAAUGGACGAAAGUCUGACGCAGCAACGCCGCGUGAGUGAUGAAGGUCUUCGGAUUGUAAAGCUCUGUUGAUUGGGAAGAAAAGUUCCGGGAAUAAUACCUCGGGGCGUGACGGUACCAGUCGAGGAAGCACCGGCUAACUACGUGCCAGCAGCCGCGGUAAUACGUAGGGUGCAAGCGUUGUUCGGAAUCACUGGGCGUAAAGGGAGAGUAGGCGGGAAAAUAAGUUAGAAGUUUAAUAUAUAGGCUUAACCUAUAACCUGCUUCUAAUACUGUUUUUCUUGAGUAUUGGAGAGGGAGAUGGAAUUCCAGGUGUAGCGGUGGAAUGCGUAGAUAUCUGGAAGAACACCAGCUGCGAAGGCGGUCUCCUGGCCAAAUACUGACGCUGAUGCUCGAAAGCUAGGGGAGCAAACAGG
RNAcentral lists this ribosomal RNA (429 nucleotides) under uncultured bacterium. RNAcentral's name for it is "bacterial SSU rRNA". It matches the Rfam family "Bacterial small subunit ribosomal RNA", at positions 355 to 776 of the family's 1533-position model. The record is from RNAcentral.